UCGGGUGUGGUGCAGGGUGCACGGCAGCUUUCAAUAAUUCGGGUGACAUUUUGAGGCCGCAGACCGGGGUUCGACCCCCCGCAUCCGAA
Non-coding RNA from Mycena leptocephala, 89 nucleotides. NCBI's taxonomy places the organism in Eukaryota, Fungi, Basidiomycota, Agaricomycetes, Agaricales, Mycenaceae. The record is from the annotation of a GenBank genome assembly.